UACAGAGGUCCCAAGCGUUGCUCGGAAUCACUGGGCGUAAAGCGCACGUAGGCGGAUCUUUAAGUCAGGGGUGAAAUCCUGGAGCUCAACUCCAGAACUGCCUUUGAUACUGGGGAUCUCGAGUCCGGAAGAGGUGAGUGGAACUCCGAGUGUAGAGGUGAAAUUCGUAGAUAUUCGGAAGAACACCAGUGGCGAAGGCGACUCGCUGGACAAGUAUUGACGCUGAGGUGCGAAAGCGUGGGGAGCAAACAGGG
RNAcentral lists this ribosomal RNA (254 nucleotides) under uncultured bacterium. RNAcentral describes it as "partial 16S ribosomal RNA". It matches the Rfam family "Bacterial small subunit ribosomal RNA", at positions 524 to 777 of the family's 1533-position model. The record is from RNAcentral.